Molecule: ribosomal RNA, 347 nt
Filed under: Mesorhizobium sp.
Lineage: Bacteria; Pseudomonadati; Pseudomonadota; Alphaproteobacteria; Hyphomicrobiales; Phyllobacteriaceae
Description: partial 23S ribosomal RNA
Rfam family: Bacterial large subunit ribosomal RNA
Source: RNAcentral
GUUAUAUGGUCAAGUGAAGAAGCGCAUACGGUGGAUGCCUUGGCAGUCAGAGGCGAUGAAAGACGUGGUAGCCUGCGAUAAGCUUCGGGGAGUCGGCAAACAGACUGUGAUCCGGAGAUCUCUGAAUGGGGGAACCCACCCAGCACAAGCUGGUUAUCUUGUACUGAAUACAUAGGUGCAAGAGGCGAACCAGGGGAACUGAAACAUCUAAGUACCCUGAGGAAAAGAAAUCAACCGAGAUUCCCUUAGUAGUGGCGAGCGAACGGGGACUAGCCCUUAAGCUUCUUUGAUUUUAGCGGAACGCUCUGGAAAGUGCGGCCAUAGUGGGUGAUAGCCCUGUACGCGAA